CUGCUUUUCCAGCUGUGGGCUCAGCUGUCCUGAAGACAGAGGACAGUGGCACAGGAUGUGGAAGGAGCACAGCGCACCCUCAGCUCCGGGAGGAGGUCAUGUUCCCGGGAAUCUUUCCAUCACCCUGGGGCUGCUGGGCCAGGCACGUUCCCUUCCUUAUUGGAAUCAGAAAACACAACUAGGAGGCUGUUGCAUUAGAACAGAGGAGAAAGGAUGAAGGUCUGUCUUAGAAAAUGGGAACAAGCAACUAGUCUUGAGGAAAAUGACUUGAACAACACACAACAGCCAAGAAUCAAAGCCCCCAUCAUUCACCCUGACAGACAGACAAGGCUCGUAUCAAGGAACACAAGAGUGCUACAAGA
Camelus dromedarius (Arabian camel) is the source of this 362-nucleotide long non-coding RNA. RefSeq lists it as uncharacterized. The record is from RefSeq and is a predicted model, not a curated record. The transcript is spliced from 3 exons. NCBI's taxonomy places the organism in Eukaryota, Metazoa, Chordata, Mammalia, Artiodactyla, Camelidae.